RNAcentral lists this long non-coding RNA (597 nucleotides) under Eucalyptus grandis. Its description in RNAcentral is "long non-coding RNA (EGRA_LNC002381)". Lineage: Eukaryota; Viridiplantae; Streptophyta; Magnoliopsida; Myrtales; Myrtaceae. The record is from RNAcentral.
UAUGUCUUUGGCAGGUCUCAAGACCUUGCGUCAAGAUCCUUUCAUCAUCUACAAUUACUUUGUCGACAAUGACGAAAUCAGAAGGUCAUCUCAAGAUCUAGGGAUGCUUCCUCCAUCUGCCCGUCCAUUGAGAUCGAGGUGAUAUCUCAAAGGCCAUGGCUAUGGCUAGAUUAGGUUACCAAUUGUGGUGCCGAGACCUUACAGAGAUUUGGCGGCGAGAGAAGAGAUAGAGUAAGGGAGAGAGUAUUUUCGUUUUGUAAAUAGAGAAAGCAAAGAUAGUUGUGGAUGACAUGACAGAGAUAGCAGCGAGAUGUGGAGGACUAACGGUGAUUACCGGUGGCCACAAUGGCCAGAGACGGUAGCUAAUGGUGAAGAGAGGGUUGGUUGAGUAGGAAGACUUGACGAAGAUUAUUAGACAGUGUGAUGAGUACGCUGAUAAGUGCAAAAAUUAUACGUCCAUGUUUCCUUUUUGAUUUUGUCCCCUUUUUGUGUUGGUUAACUUUGUAUCUCCAUUAAAUGACAUGGCAAUGAAUAAAGAGGUUUGAAGAGUAGGUAGGGGACACACACAGCGGCCGUAGGUGUCAGCAACAUGAACGC